Molecule: ribosomal RNA, 120 nt
Filed under: Beta vulgaris subsp. vulgaris (sugar beet)
Lineage: Eukaryota; Viridiplantae; Streptophyta; Magnoliopsida; Caryophyllales; Amaranthaceae
Source: RNAcentral
GGGUGCGAUCAUACAAGUACUAAUGCACCGGAUCCUAUCAGAACUCCACAGGUUAAGUGUGCUUAGGCGAGAGCAGUACUAGGGUGGGUGACCUCGUAGGAAGUCCUCGGAAUGCACCCC